RNAcentral lists this ribosomal RNA (1336 nucleotides) under uncultured archaeon. RNAcentral describes it as "bacterial SSU rRNA". It matches the Rfam family "Archaeal small subunit ribosomal RNA". The record is from RNAcentral.
UCUGGUUGAUCCUGCCGGCGGCCACUGCUAUCAGGUUCCGACUAAGCCAUGCAAGUUAAGGGGUCGUAAGACACCANCGAACCGCUCAGUAACACGCGGAUAAUCUAACCCCAAGCGGGGUAUAGCCUCGGGAAACUGAGGGUAAUUCUCCAUAGCCAUUAUAUGCUGGAAUGCUUUGAUGGUGAAAGCUUCGGCGCUUGAACAUUAGUCCAGGCCCUACGGGGCGCAGCAGGCGCGAAAACUGUGCAAUGCGCGAAAGCGCGACACGGGGAACCUGAGUGCCUUGACACAGUCAAGGCUUUUAUCAAGCCUAAAAAGCUUGAUGAAUAAGAGCUGGGUAAGACGGGUGCCAGCCGCCGCGGUAACACCCGCAGCUCUAGUGGUGGCCACUUUUAUUGAGCCUAAAGCGUGCGUAGNCGGUUCUGUAAAUCUUCAGAUAAAUNCAUUCGCUCAACGGAUGAUCUUCUGAAGAGACUGUAGAACUUGGGACCGGGUGAGGUUGAAUGUACUUCCGGGGUAGGGGUAAAAUCCUGUAAUCCUGGAAGGACAACCGGUGGCGAAGGCGUUCAACUAGAACGGAUCCGACGGUGAGGAACGAGGGCUAGGGGAGCAAACCGGAUUAGAUACCCGGGUAGUCCUAGCUGUAAACACUGCCCACUUGGUGUUGCCUCUCUGUUGAAGGGGGGCAGUGCCGGAGCGAAGGUGUUAAGUGGGCCGCUUGGGGAGUAUGGUCGCAAGGCUGAAACUUAAAGGAAUUGGCGGGGGAGCACCGCAACGGGAGGAGCGUGCGGUUUAACUGGAUUCAACGCCGGAAAACUCACCGGGAGCGACCUUUGGAUGAGAGUCAACUUGAUGAGUUUACUCGAUAGAAGGAGAGGUGGUGCAUGGCCGUCGUCAGCUCGUACCGUAGGGCGUUCACUUAAGUGUGAUAACGAGCGAGACCCCCAUCUCUAAUUGCCAGUAUGUCUUUGCGGACAUGCGCACUUUAGAGGGACCGCCAGCGCUAAGCUGGAGGAAGGAGGGGUCGACGGCAGGUCAGUACGCCCCGAAUCUCCCGGGCUACACGCGCGCUACAAAGGACAGGACAAUGAGUUGCAACCUCGAAAGGGGGAGCUAACCUCGAAACCUGUUCAUAGUUAGGAUUGAGGGCUGUAACUCGCCCUCAUGAAUGUGGAUUCCGUAGUAAUCGCGGGUCAACAGCCCGCGGUGAAUAUGCCCCUGCUCCUUGCACACACCGCCCGUCAAACCAUCCGAGCUGGUGUUGGAUGAGGGUAUGCCCGAGAGGACAAACUCGAAUCUGAUGUCAGUGAGGAGGGUUAAGUCGUAACAAGGUAAC